RNAcentral lists this ribosomal RNA (2909 nucleotides) under Salinivibrio sp. IB643. RNAcentral describes it as "bacterial LSU rRNA". It matches the Rfam family "Bacterial large subunit ribosomal RNA". Lineage: Bacteria; Pseudomonadati; Pseudomonadota; Gammaproteobacteria; Vibrionales; Vibrionaceae. The record is from RNAcentral.
GUUGUAUGGUUAAGUGACUAAGCGUAGACGGUGGAUGCCUUGGCAGUCAGAGGCGAUGAAGGACGUAUUAACUUGCGAAAAGCCCAGAUAAGGCAGUAAAAGCCAUUUGAAUCUGGGAUAUCCGAAUGGGGAAACCCACCUGCAUAAGCAGGUAUCUUAGCGUGAAYACAUAGCGCUAAGAGGCGAACUCGGGGAACUGAAACAUCUAAGUACCCGAAGGAAAAGAAAUCAAUUGAGAUUCCGGCAGUAGCGGCGAGCGACCCCGGAUUAGCCCUUAAGCAGACUUGGCGUUAGGUGAACAGGUUGGAAAACCUGGCAAUAAAGGGUGAUAGCCCCGUAACCGACGGCGCCAUAUUUGUGAAAACGAGUARGACGGGACACGUGAUAUCUUGUCUGAACAUGGGGGGACCAUCCUCCAAGGCUAAAUACUCCUGACUGACCGAUAGUGAACCAGUACCGUGAGGGAAAGGCGAAAAGAACCCCUGUGAGGGGAGUGAAAUAGAACCUGAAACCGUCUACGUACAAGCAGUGGGAGCCUCCUUUGUGGGGUGACCGCGUACCUUUUGUAUAAUGGGUCAGCGACUUAAUGUUAGUAGCAAGGUUAACCGCAUAGGGGAGCCGUAGGGAAACCGAGUCUUAACUGGGCGYGUAGUUGCUAGCAUUAGACCCGAAACCGAGUGAUCUAGCCAUGGGCAGGUUGAAGGUUGAGUAACAUCAACUGGAGGACCGAACUCACUAACGUUGAAAAGUUAGGAGAUGACCUGUGGCUAGGGGUGAAAGGCCAAUCAAACUCGGAGAUAGCUGGUUCUCCCCGAAAGCUAUUUAGGUAGCGCCUCGGACGAACACUACUGGGGGUAGAGCACUGUUAAGGCUAGGGGGUCAUCCCGACUUACCAACCCUUUGCAAACUCCGAAUACCAGUAAGUGCUAUCCGGGAGACACACGGCGGGUGCUAACGUCCGUCGUGGAGAGGGAAACAACCCAGACCGCCAGCUAAGGUCCCAAAGUUAUCGCUAAGUGGGAAACGAUGUGGGAAGGCUCAGACAGCCAGGAUGUUGGCUUAGAAGCAGCCAUCAUUUAAAGAAAGCGUAAUAGCUCACUGGUCGAGUCGGCCUGCGCGGAAGAUGUAACGGGGCUAAGCGAUACACCGAAGCUGCGGCAAUGCGAUUUAUCGUAUUGGGUAGGGGAGCGUUGUGUAAGCCGUUGAAGGUGUGCUGAGAGGCAUGCUGGAGGUAUCACAAGUGCGAAUGCUGACAUGAGUAACGAUAAWGGGGGUGAAAAACCUCCWCGCCGGAAGACCAAGGGUUCCUGUCCAACGUUAAUCGGGGCAGGGUAAGUCGGCCCCUAAGGCGAGGCCGAAAGGCGUAGUCGAUGGGAAACGGGUUAAUAUUCCCGUACUGCURCUUACUGCGAUGGGGGGACGGAGAAGGCUAGGUGGGCCUGGCGAYGGUUGUCCAGGUUCAAGGGUGUAGGCUGUAAUCUUAGGCAAAUCCGGGAUUACGYACGGUCGAGACCCGAUGUCGAGCCACCAAGGUGGUGAAGUCAUUGAUGCCAUGCUUCCGGGAAAAGCCUCUAAGCUUCAGGUAAGUAGGAACCGUACUCCAAACCGACACAGGUGGUCGGGUAGAGAAUACCAAGGCGCUUGAGAGAACUCGGGUGAAGGAACUAGGCAAAAUGGUACCGUAACUUCGGGAGAAGGUACGCUGCCCAMGGUGAAGUCCCUYGCGGAUGGAGCUAUGGGCAGUCGCAGAUACCAGGUGGCUGCAACUGUUUAUUAAAAACACAGCACUGUGCAAAAUCGAAAGAUGACGUAUACGGUGUGACGCCUGCCCGGUGCCGGAAGGUUAAUUGAUGUGGUUAUCGCAAGAGAAGCCAUUGAUCGAAGCCCCGGUAAACGGCGGCCGUAACUAUAACGGUCCUAAGGUAGCGAAAUUCCUUGUCGGGUAAGUUCCGACCUGCACGAAUGGCGUAAUGAUGGCCACGCUGUCUCCACCCGAGACUCAGUGAAAUUGAAAUCGCAGUGAAGAUGCUGUGUACCCGCGGCUAGACGGAAAGACCCCGUGAACCUUUACUACAGCUUGGCACUGAACAUUGAGCCUACAUGUGUAGGAUAGGUGGGAGGCUUUGAAACGGCGACGCCAGUUGUCGUGGAGCCAUCCUUGAAAUACCACCCUUGUAUGUUUGAUGUUCUAACUUAGCCCCCUAAUCGGGGGUGAGGACAGUGCCUGGUGGGUAGUUUGACUGGGGCGGUCUCCUCCCAAAGCGUAACGGAGGAGCACGAAGGUGGGCUAAUCACGGUCGGACAUCGUGAGGUUAGUGCAAUGGCAUAAGCCCGCUUAACUGCGAGAGUGACGGCUCGAGCAGGUACGAAAGUAGGUCAUAGUGAUCCGGUGGUUCUGAAUGGAAGGGCCAUCGCUCAACGGAUAAAAGGUACUCCGGGGAUAACAGGCUGAUACCGCCCAAGAGUUCAUAUCGACGGCGGUGUUUGGCACCUCGAUGUCGGCUCAUCACAUCCUGGGGCUGAAGUCGGUCCCAAGGGUAUGGCUGUUCGCCAUUUAAAGUGGUACGCGAGCUGGGUUUAGAACGUCGUGAGACAGUUCGGUCCCUAUCUGCCGUGGGCGUUGGAUGAUUGAGGGGAGCUGCUCCUAGUACGAGAGGACCGGAGUGGACGAACCGCUGGUGUUCGGGUUGUGUCGCCAGACGCAUUGCCCGGUAGCUAAGUUCGGCACAGAUAAGCGCUGAAAGCAUCUAAGCGCGAAGCUGGCCCCGAGAUGAGUCAUCCCUAGAGCUUCGAGCUCUCUAAAGGGUUGUCGUAGACUACGACGUUGAUAGGCAGGGUGUGUAAGCGCUGUGAGGCGUUGAGCUAACCUGUACUAAUUGCCCGUGCGGCUUAACCAUACAACACCCAAG